Molecule: long non-coding RNA, 3647 nt
Filed under: Brachypodium distachyon (stiff brome)
Lineage: Eukaryota; Viridiplantae; Streptophyta; Magnoliopsida; Poales; Poaceae
Description: long non-coding RNA (BDIS_LNC005239)
Source: RNAcentral
GUUCACUGCCACGUUCAUCUUCCUCUAUGUCAGCAUCGCCACCGUCAUCGGCUACAAGAGCCAGGCCGCCGCCGAAACGUGCACCGGCGUCGGCUACCUCGGCGUGGCCUGGUCCUUCGGCGCCACCAUCUUCGUCCUCGUCUACUGCACCGGCGGCGUCUCAGGCACGUCGUCCAAGCAUCUCUAAGUACAAUAACAUAUUUUAUACGGAGUACUAACGGAGAUAGUUUUGCACAUAUUUACGUUACGAUGUAUGAACUCCGGUGCAUGCAUGGUACAGGCGGGCACAUAAACCCGGCGGUGACGUUCGGGCUGCUGGUGGGGAGGAAGCUGUCGCUGGUGCGCGCCGUGCUGUACAUCGUGGCGCAGUGCCUGGGGGCCAUCUGCGGCGCGGGGCUCGUGAAGGGGAUCACGGGCCGCAGCUACGAGACACUCGGCGGCGGCGCCAACUCCGUGUCCGACGGGUUCUCGGUGGGCGCAGCGUUCGGCGCAGAGAUCGCCGGCACGUUCGUUCUCGUCUACACCGUGCUCUCCGCCACAGACCCCAAGCGCACCGCCCGCGACUCCUUCAUCCCCGUACGCGUGUUGAUUUCAUCUUCUUGCAUGCUUGCAUGCCGUAUACCCGUGGUUUCCGAGUGGUUGACUUGAGCGUGCUCUGUUUUCCUCUGCUCUGUGUGUGUGUUUGUUCAGGUGUUGGUGCCGCUACCGAUUGGGUUCGCGGUGUUCGUGGUGCACCUGGCGACAAUACCGAUCUCGGGGACGGGGAUCAACCCGGCCAGGAGCCUCGGCGCCGCCGUCAUGUACAACCAGCACAAAGCCUGGAAAGACCACGUGAGCAAACCACUAAGAUUGCAUCCACGCACGUAAUUAACCUUGGCAACAACCAUGCAUAUAUACCGAUUUUUGAUUGGUUGAUUAUUCUUGCAGUGGAUAUUCUGGGUGGGGCCGCUCCUCGGCGCGACCGUGGCGGCGUUCUACCACCGGUUCGUGCUGCGCGGCGAGGCCGCCAAGGCGCUGGGCUCGUUCAGGAGCACCGGCGCUGCGACCGCACGAACCUAACCAAGGAGCGAGCACACACGUACGCAUGCAUCCGUGUAAUCGAAGCUGCUUAAUUUGGUCGGCCCGGGCGUCCCUGUUUGAUUCUUGGUUCUACUACUUUGCUUGGUUCAUGCUGUCUUGUGUAACUUUGGACUGUUGCUUGCAUGUGCAUGCACGGGUGGUCCCUUCUGUUGUCUGUUGUCUCUUCGAUUAAUCUAUGCAAUUACACUUCGGUGAUUACAUCGCUACAUAUGUCUGUGUAUGGACGAAAGUUCCUACAUGUACUCUCCGUGGGAUGCAACAAAAACAAAUUUAUGUCAGAAUCGUUUGAACAACCAUUUGGACUUGGCACGGUUGCAGUAGCUGACUGUGUUGUUUCAAAUUUAGUUAUCGGUUUUGCUAUAAAAAAACUGUAUGUUUUUAGUGUGACCAGUCCGCGUGUUUGCAUUGGCCGCCGGAUCUUAAUCCAAGGAUGUCACAUGGUAGAGGUGUGAGUAAUCGUGAUUCUCAGAUCUUAAUUCAACGGUUCUGAUACAUUCAUACCCGAUCAAAUAUAUGUUUUUUUUUGCUUCAAAAACAGGGGAUUGAGAAAUAGCCACACCCUUAUUUUAUACAAUCCGUAUCGGUUUACCAAUUUUUCAACCGGAGAACGUUUUGUACCUCGCGGUCCAGCCGAACGAGCCGGAUAGCGAUGCAAAACAGAGAAAAUUAAAUAACACCUACCAACAUCCGGCACUCAACCAAGAGGUGGAGCCGGAAAAAAGAGCACCCAAACGCUCCUCGGAUUGGCGGAAGGACUGACGCAAAACACGAAGAAGAAUUGUUGAUGCGUGUUUAAUACUUUUCCCCGAGCAAAAGAAAUGCCUAACGAAAGUUUUCAUAGUAAAAUUUUAUUUGGGAAAGCUUCGUGUACACCCGGGCGCACCACGCCAAUAUUCUAACACAAACGCAUGCGCUUUGAGAUUCGUGCGGGAGAGAGAGAGAGAGAGAGUGCUUCCCAAACCGACGCGUCACCCCGCUGCGGCGCUGCGAAGCUGGAGAGGCGCGAUAAUGCAGUACACCGGCAGGAGAUGGAGUGCGAGUGCAGAACCGCCGGCAGGAGAUAGAUGGUGCAAGUGCUGAACCACCGAUGCAGUGUGCUUUGGGCGUUGAUCUCAAAGUUCUGCGGAUGGCCCGGGAUUGUGAGUGCAACACCUUUGGGUUCUAAAAAUCCACUCUCUUUAUUUUUGUUUAUGUGCAACAACAGUGAUCACAGUUGUAUGCCUUUCUGUUUUCCCAUGUUGGUAGAUCAGAGAUACCACUAGCAAGUGAGUUAGGUGAAAUACACUAAUUAACAUAACUAGGGAAAAACCCACCUACCAGUCGGCGCUGAAUCGUCAGGAUACACUAAUAUUUCAAAUGAUGUGUGUCAAAAACAUUACGAAAAAUACAUUAUCCGUGUUUGAUGUGAAUUACAGCUAUAUCUAAGUCACUUAGGUUGAGAUAAGUCGAUUUCUCAAACACUGGAUAUGGUUUGUGCUUUAAGAUUUAGAGCGGACAAUGGAAAGUGGAGGGUAGAAUAACGUUCAAAUACUGAUCCAACAAUUUUGAUGCAUCAACUGGAAUUUAAAACUUUUGGUUGAAAAUUAGACGCUUGAGACAUAACCACUGGAUUACGAUUAUAUCUUGUUCUUAAAUGCACAAACACUCUAACACUAGUGUUUCCUGACAUUUGUGGAGGCGCAAACAAAAGGAAUCUAUACACAAAGUCAGAAACGAAUUAAAAACGUCAUGUAACACGUAGAAUCUCUGUACAUGCUAGUUAAUCAUUUCGAGGUCACAUACGGGCGUCGCCGAAACUGGGCUAGGAUCGACCGUGCCCCUUUUUCCAGUUGAUUAAAGCAAAGCAAAACUGAUUUACAUGUUCUAGAGAAGACGCCUAAGGUUUGCUAGGCUAGCUAGUCUUGUUCGAUCUUUAGCUCUGUCUUUUUUUUAGGAAUCUUUAGCUGAUCUGUCGAGCCGUCUUGUCGCAUUUUGGAGUGCCUCUCUCAUCCCUUCUUCAUCACAAGAUCAAGCGUCGACGGCCACUCGCUUUUGUUGAUUUUCGUUAAAACGAAACAAAAGGUAUUAUAUUCCAAUGCAACGGCGAGAGCAACCUCCUGCCUCAAAAUAUCUAGUACCUACCUGGCUACCUCUAGCUCAUCGGCUCGUGUAUUUAAACAUCGCCUACCACCUCGCUCUGUUCGCGCCAAGAACACACCAGCACUAGCUAGCCUGCGCGUACCUACUGACCUAAUUAAGUUCUUCAGGUUGCAUAAUGCCGAACACGAAGGAGGAGGUGGCCGCCGCCAAACUCGCCAAGCAGGCCACCCUGACGGCGCCGUACUGGGACCCUCCGGCGGAGCUGCUGGACAGGAGCGAGCUGUCCCGUUGGUCCCUGUACCGCGCCGUCAUCGCCGAGUUCAUGGCCACGCUCAUCUUCCUCUACAUCAGCAUCGCCACGGUCAUCGGCUACAAGAGCCAGGCCGCCGCCCAAGCGUGCACCGGCGUCGGCUACCUCGGCGUGGCCUGGUCCUUCGGCGCCACCAUCUUCGUCCUCGUCCACUGCACCGGCGGCCUCUCAGGCGGGC